This 133-nucleotide small nucleolar RNA is filed under the name Sorex araneus (European shrew). RNAcentral's name for it is "Small nucleolar RNA SNORA75 (ENSSARG00000014590.1)". The record is from RNAcentral. Lineage: Eukaryota; Metazoa; Chordata; Mammalia; Eulipotyphla; Soricidae.
CUCUUCUCAGUGAGUUCUUUUCUAUAACUGGUGGCCCAUUAUGGAUUCACAUAGGAAGAAGAGACAACUCACAGAGCUAGCAUGCACUUAUUUCUGUCUUUGGAAGACUACUUUACUAUUUUAUGAGACAUAG